RNAcentral lists this ribosomal RNA (482 nucleotides) under uncultured bacterium. RNAcentral's name for it is "bacterial SSU rRNA". It matches the Rfam family "Bacterial small subunit ribosomal RNA", at positions 373 to 848 of the family's 1533-position model. The record is from RNAcentral.
GGGCGAAAGCCUGAUCCAGCAAUGCCGCGUGUGGGAAGAAGGCCUUCGGGUUGUAAACCACUUUUGUACGGAACGAAAAGGUCUGCCCUAAUACGGUGGGCCCAUGACGGUACCGUAAGAAUAAGCACCGGCUAACUACGUGCCAGCAGCCGCGGUAAUACGUAGGGUGCGAGCGUUAAUCGGAAUUACUGGGCGUAAAGCGUGCGCAGGCGGUUAUAUAAGACAGUUGUGAAAUCCCCGGGCUCAACCUGGGAAUUGCAUCUGUGACUGUAUAGCUAGAGUACGGUAGAGGGGGAUGGAAUUCCGCGUGUAGCAGUGAAAUGCGUAGAUAUGCGGAGGAACACCGAUGGCGAAGGCAAUCCCCUGGACCUGUACUGACGCUCAUGCACGAAAGCGUGGGGAGCAAACAGGAUUAGAUACCCUGGUAGUCCACGCCCUAAACGAUGUCAACUGGUUGUUGGGUGCAUUAGUACUCAGUAACG